Molecule: ribosomal RNA, 274 nt
Filed under: uncultured bacterium
Lineage: Bacteria
Description: partial 16S ribosomal RNA
Rfam family: Bacterial small subunit ribosomal RNA
Source: RNAcentral
AUACGGAGGGUGCAAGCGUUAUCCGGAAUCAUUGGGUUUAAAGGGUCCGCAGGCGGAUUAAUAAGUCAGUGGUGAAAUCCUCUCGCUCAACGAGAGAACUGCCAUUGAAACUGUUAGUCUUGAAUUCGGUCGAAGUAGGCGGAAUGUGUCAUGUAGCGGUGAAAUGCAUAGAUAUGACACAGAACACCGAUAGCGAAGGCAACUUACUAGACCUGGAUUGACGCUCAUGGACGAAAGCGUGGGGAGCGAACAGGAUUAGAAACCCCGGUAGUCC